UACGGGGGGAGCAAGCGUUGUUCGGAUUUACUGGGCGUAAAGCGCGCGUAGGCGGAACGAUCAGUCCGGUCUGAAAGCCCCCGGCUCAACCGGGGAGGGUGGCUGGAAACUGUCGUUCUUGAGGGCGAGAGAGGAGGGUGGAAUUCCUGGUGUAGCGGUGAAAUGCGUAGAGAUCAGGAGGAACACCCGUGGCGAAGGCGGCCCUCUGGCUCGACCCUGACGCUGAGGCGCGAAAGCGUGGGGAGCGAACGGG
This 253-nucleotide ribosomal RNA is filed under the name uncultured bacterium. Its description in RNAcentral is "partial 16S ribosomal RNA". It matches the Rfam family "Bacterial small subunit ribosomal RNA", at positions 524 to 776 of the family's 1533-position model. The record is from RNAcentral.